Molecule: ribosomal RNA, 254 nt
Filed under: uncultured bacterium
Lineage: Bacteria
Description: partial 16S ribosomal RNA
Rfam family: Bacterial small subunit ribosomal RNA
Source: RNAcentral
GACGUAGGGUGCAAGCGUUGUCCGGAUUUACUGGGCGUAAAGAGCGCGUAGGCGGUCUUGUAAGUGUGAAGUGAAAUCUCCAGGGCUCAACCCGGAAACUGCUUUGCAUACUGCGAGACUUGAGGGAUGCAGAGGUUUGUGGAAUUCCUGGUGUAGCGGUGAAAUGCGUUGAUAUCAGGAGGAACACCGACGGCGCAGGCAGCGUCCUGGCCGCUUGCUGACACUGAGGCACGAAAGCUGGGGGAGCAAACAGG